Molecule: ribosomal RNA, 451 nt
Filed under: uncultured Moraxellaceae bacterium
Lineage: Bacteria; Pseudomonadati; Pseudomonadota; Gammaproteobacteria; Moraxellales; Moraxellaceae
Description: bacterial SSU rRNA
Rfam family: Bacterial small subunit ribosomal RNA
Source: RNAcentral
GUGGGGAAUAUUGGACAAUGGGGGGAACCCUGAUCCAGCCAUGCCGCGUGUGUGAAGAAGGCCUUAUGGUUGUAAAGCACUUUAAGCGAGGAGGAGGGUACUGGUAUUAAUACUACCAGCUACUGGACGUUACUCGCAGAAUAAGCACCGGCUAACUCUGUGCCAGCAGCCGCGGUAAUACAGAGGGUGCGAGCGUUAAUCGGAUUUACUGGGCGUAAAGCGUGCGUAGGCGGCUAAUUGAGUCGGAUGUGAAAUCCCCGAGCUUAACUUGGGAAUUGCAUUCGAUACUGGUUAGCUAGAGUGUGGGAGAGGAUGGUAGAAUUCCAGGUGUAGCGGUGAAAUGCGUAGAGAUCUGGAGGAAUACCGAUGGCGAAGGCAGCCAUCUGGCCUAACACUGACGCUGAGGUACGAAAGCAUGGGGAGCAAACAGGAUUAGAAACCCUGGUAGUCC